Molecule: ribosomal RNA, 696 nt
Filed under: Coniochaetales sp. A551
Lineage: Eukaryota; Fungi; Ascomycota; Sordariomycetes; Coniochaetales
Also listed under: 1 other name
Description: SSU rRNA
Rfam family: Eukaryotic small subunit ribosomal RNA
Source: RNAcentral
GUGGUAAUUCUAGAGCUAAUACAUGCUAAAAACCCCGACUUCGGAAGGGGUGUAUUUAUUAGAUUAAAAACCAAUGCCCUUCGGGGCUCUCUGGUGAUUCAUAAUAACUUCUCGAAUCGCACGGCCUUGCGCCGGCGAUGGUUCAUUCAAAUUUCUGCCCUAUCAACUUUCGACGGCUGGGUCUUGGCCAGCCAUGGUGACAACGGGUAACGGAGGGUUAGGGCUCGACCCCGGAGAAGGAGCCUGAGAAACGGCUACUACAUCCAAGGAAGGCAGCAGGCGCGCAAAUUACCCAAUCCCGACUCGGGGAGGUAGUGACAAUAAAUACUGAUACAGGGCUCUUUUGGGUCUUGUAAUUGGAAUGAGUACAAUUUAAAUCCCUUAACGAGGAACAAUUGGAGGGCAAGUCUGGUGCCAGCAGCCGCGGUAAUUCCAGCUCCAAUAGCGUAUAUUAAAGUUGUUGCAGUUAAAAAGCUCGUAGUUGAACCUUGGGCCUGGCUGGCCGGUCCGCCUCACCGCGUGCACUGGUCCGGCCGGGCCUUUCCCUCUGGGGAACCGCAUGCCCUUCACUGGGUGUGUCGGGGAACCAGGACUUUUACUUUGAACAAAUUAGAUCGCUUAAAGAAGGCCUAUGCUCGAAUAUAUUAGCAUGGAAUAAUAGAAUAGGACGUGUGGUUCUAUUUUGUUGGUUUCUAG